Molecule: ribosomal RNA, 448 nt
Filed under: Corynespora cassiicola
Lineage: Eukaryota; Fungi; Ascomycota; Dothideomycetes; Pleosporales; Corynesporascaceae
Description: eukaryotic LSU rRNA
Rfam family: 5.8S ribosomal RNA (bases 82-235)
Source: RNAcentral
UCGCCUGCCAACGGGGACCCACCACAAACCCAUUGCAGUACAAGAAGUACACGUCUGAACAAAACAAAACAAACUAUUUACAACUUUCAACAACGGAUCUCUUGGUUCUGGCAUCGAUGAAGAACGCAGCGAAAUGCGAUAAGUAGUGUGAAUUGCAGAAUUCAGUGAAUCAUCGAAUCUUUGAACGCACAUUGCGCCCUUUGGUAUUCCUUAGGGCAUGCCUGUUCGAGCGUCAUUUCAACCCUCAAGCCUAGCUUGGUGUUGGGCGUCUGUCCCGCCUCCGCGCGCCUGGACUCGCCUCAAAAGCAUUGGCGGCCGGUUCCCAGCAGGCCACGAGCGCAGCAGAGCAAGCGCUGAAGUGGCUGCGGGUCGGCGCACCAUGAGCCCCCCCACACCAGAAUUUUGACCUCGGAUCAGGUAGGGAUACCCGCUGAACUUAAGCAUAUCU